GAUCAAUUCUGUGAAACGUAAAAUAAUUAUUCAGUGAAUGAAACAAAGAGGAGAAGUAGAGAAAGACUGGAUCAGGGAUGGAGACGAUAGACACGUACGUGAUGACAGACGUUAGUGGUAUUCGAAGGGUUCUGUCAUCGAGCGUGUUGACGGUGACCACUGUUCCGGUCAGUGCCUCUCGCAGAAAGAUAUCGACCGUCAUGUGCAAGUCAGAGCCCUCUCUUCGGAAGGUCUCGUGAGGCCGGUCCUCCGUGAUGAAGAUUACAUCCGCUACGCUGACGUGCUUUGGACUGAGAAUUUUUGUGGGUCCUUCAUCACCUUCCUCUGGGAACACUAUCCUCGUUCCCGUCGGAAUGCCUGGUUUAAUGGGUAUCGUUAAAAUUUUUUCCUUCGUCACUGUCUUAGUCUUAUCAUCCCCUACCAAUACUAAUCUUUGUAUCUUCAUUUUCUUUAUCCCUCCAAGAAAGACCUAUUUAUAUAAAUCAAUGAAUUUAUAGAUCUUUUAGAAUUAAAGUGGCGGAUCACUUAGUUUAAUGAGUGUAUUUGGCCAAAUAUAUGUGUAAGCAAGAAAAUUAAUAAGGAAAGUGUUUAGCAUAACAAUGAAUAGUAAACUGUUAAUGAUCGAUACAAUGGAUUUAUGAAAAUAU
RNAcentral lists this unclassified non-coding RNA (647 nucleotides) under Bombus terrestris (buff-tailed bumblebee). RNAcentral describes it as "misc RNA ENSBTSG00005029686.1". Lineage: Eukaryota; Metazoa; Arthropoda; Insecta; Hymenoptera; Apidae. The record is from RNAcentral.